RNAcentral lists this ribosomal RNA (492 nucleotides) under uncultured bacterium. RNAcentral describes it as "partial 16S ribosomal RNA". It matches the Rfam family "Bacterial small subunit ribosomal RNA", at positions 28 to 507 of the family's 1533-position model. The record is from RNAcentral.
GAUGAACGCUAGCUACAGGCUUAACACAUGCAAGUCGAGGGGAAACGACAUCGAAAGCUUGCUUUUGAUGGGCGUCGACCGGCGCACGGGUGAGUAACGCGUAUCCAACCUGCCCAUCACUUGGGAAUAACCUUGCGAAAGUAAGACUAAUACCCAAUGAUAUCCCACGAAGGCAUCGGAAUGGGAUUAAAGAUUUAUCGGUGAUGGAUGGGGAUGCGUCUGAUUAGCUUGUUGGCGGGGUAACGGCCCACCAAGGCAACGAUCAGUAGGGGUUCUGAGAGGAAGGUCCCCCACAUUGGAACUGAGACACGGUCCAAACUCCUACGGGAGGCAGCAGUGAGGAAUAGUGGCCAAUGGGCGAGAGCCUGAACCAGCCAAGUAGCGUGCAGGAAGACGGCCCUAUGGGUUGUAAACUGCUUUUAUAAGGGAAUAAAGUGGGUCACAUGUGACUUUUUGCAUGUACCUUAUGAAUAAGGACCGGCUAAUUCCGUG